GGCUCAGAUUAAACGCUGGCGGCAUGCCUUACACAUGCGAAGUCGAACGGCAGCGACGGGGGCGAACCCUGGUGGCGAGUGGCGAACGGGUGAGUAAAGCAUCGGAACGUGCCUGGAGUGGGGGAGUAACGUAGCGAAAGUUACGCUAAUACCGCAUAUUCUGUGAGCAGGAAAGCAGGGGAUCGCAAGACCUUGCGCUCUGGGAGCGGCCGAUGUCGGAUUAGCUAGUUGGUGGGGUAAAGGCCUACCAAGGCGACGAUCCGUAGCGGGUCUGAGAGGAUGAUCCGCCACACUGGGACUGAGACACGGCCCAGACUCCUACGGGAGGCAGCAGUGGGGAAUUUUGGACAAUGGGCGAAAGCCUGAUCCAGCCAUGCCGCGUGAGUGAAGAAGGCCUUCGGGUUGUAAAGCUCUUUCGGUGGGGAAGAAAUUGCAUAGGCUAAUACCCUGUGUAGAUGACGGUACCUGGAGAAGAAGCACCGGCUAACUACGUG
Molecule: ribosomal RNA, 494 nt
Filed under: uncultured bacterium
Lineage: Bacteria
Description: bacterial SSU rRNA
Rfam family: Bacterial small subunit ribosomal RNA
Source: RNAcentral